GUUGUACUCCAUCCGUUCCAAAUUACUUGUGGCGGGUACGAAUGUAUCUAGAUGUAUUUUAGUUCUAGAUACAUCCAUUUCUGCGACAAGUAAUUUGAAACGGAGAGAGUAUUUG
Triticum aestivum (bread wheat) is the source of this 115-nucleotide non-coding RNA. Lineage: Eukaryota; Viridiplantae; Streptophyta; Magnoliopsida; Poales; Poaceae. The record is from Rfam.